UACGUAGGGUGCGAGCGUUAAUCGGAAUUACUGGGCGUAAAGAGUGCGUAGGCGGUUCGUUAUGUCUGUGGUGAAAGCCCUGGGCUCAACCUAGGAAUGGCCAUGGAAACUGGCGGGCUGGAGUAUGGCAGAGGGGGGUGGAAUUCCGCGUGUAGCAGUGAAAUGCGUAGAGAUGCGGAGGAACACCGAUGGCGAAGGCAGCCCCCUGGGCUACUACUGACGCUGAGGCACGAAAGCGUGGGGAGCAAACAGG
This 253-nucleotide ribosomal RNA is filed under the name uncultured bacterium. RNAcentral's name for it is "partial 16S ribosomal RNA". It matches the Rfam family "Bacterial small subunit ribosomal RNA", at positions 524 to 776 of the family's 1533-position model. The record is from RNAcentral.